GAUGAACGCUGGCGGCGUGCCUAAUACAUGCAAGUCGAGCGAACAGACGAGGAGCUUGCUCCUUUGACGUUAGCGGCGGACGGGUGAGUAGCACGUGGAUAACCUACCUAUAAGACUGGGAUAACUUCGGGAAACCGGAGCUAAUACCGGAUAACAUGUUGAACCGCAUGGUUCAACAGUGAAAGACGGUCUUGCUGUCACUUAUAGAUGGAUCCGCGCCGCAUUAGCUAGUUGGUAAGGUAACGGCUUACCAAGGCAACGAUGCGUAGCCGACCUGAGAGGGUGAUCGGCCACACUGGAACUGAGACACGGUCCAGACUCCUACGGGAGGCAGCAGUAGGGAAUCUUCCGCAAUGGGCGAAAGCCUGACGGAGCAACGCCGCGUGAGUGAAGAAGGUCUUCGGAUCGUAAAACUCUGUUAUUAGGGAAGAACAAAUGUGUAAGUAACUAUGCACGUCUUGACGGUACCUAAUCAGAAAGCCACGGCUAACUACGUG
This 497-nucleotide ribosomal RNA is filed under the name uncultured bacterium. RNAcentral's name for it is "partial 16S ribosomal RNA". It matches the Rfam family "Bacterial small subunit ribosomal RNA", at positions 28 to 507 of the family's 1533-position model. The record is from RNAcentral.